Potamilus streckersoni is the source of this 79-nucleotide non-coding RNA. The record is from the annotation of a GenBank genome assembly. NCBI's taxonomy places the organism in Eukaryota, Metazoa, Mollusca, Bivalvia, Unionida, Unionidae.
ACGACCGCUCCGGUGGCCUAGUGGUUAGAGCGUCCGCUUCGGAUGCGGAAAGUCGUGGGUUGGAUCCCAGGCCGUCAUA